Molecule: long non-coding RNA, 4630 nt
Filed under: Strigops habroptila (Kakapo)
Lineage: Eukaryota; Metazoa; Chordata; Aves; Psittaciformes; Psittacidae
Description: lncRNA (ENSSHBG00005001692.1)
Source: RNAcentral
UUUUUUUUUGAGAAGAAGAUUUGUCUGCUGCAAAAAAGCGAUUCCUAAUGACUUCUUCUUGCUUUAAUUAGACCCCUUCAUGCUGAGGGACAAUGAUUUAUAUGCAUAGAACUUAAAACUAGCAGGUUUGAUGACAGUGACAAUGCACUUUUCUGUUGGCUGAUACAUGUGGAGGGUAAAGUGAGGCAUUUAUAAAGGCUGUGUUUCUAUAACCUUGGUAAUUACCACAAUUUUUAGCAUAGAAACAAUUUAAGGGCUGCUAGACCACAGACCUUAGGACUGUAGUCUACGAUGUCUAUAGACUUCCAGUGACAUCUCUACAAGUUUAGCUGAAGUGUAUUACCAUAAAAAGAGAAAAAAUAAUUUGGUUCGAAAGAUCUUACCACUAAUUUGUAGAAGUCAUCUGAAAUAAAAGGCAUAGUAUAAUUAGUUUGUCAAUUUGGCACACUAUUGCUUGACAUUUGGGUGGCUUAGCUCAAUAUAAGCUGCAUAAUGUGGCAGAAAUUUUGAAAAAAAUUAUUGAAUUUCAAUUUUCAUAUGAUUUUUAAAAUUGAAUGUGGUCUGUACAGCUUUUCCUGGUAUGUGUAGCCCUGACUUCAGUGAGGUAUCUCAUGUUGAUAUAUCAACAUUUGUAUAAGGUAUAUUUCAUGCUCUGAGCAGCAGAAUUUGGGCCAUGCUGAAAACUGAUGUAACUCUCAUUUUGUUUCAUCUGACAGUUUGGCCUAUUGCUUUCCCAAAACUUUUAAAAGAGCAAAAUAGGAUUUUGUUUUUGUUGUUGUAUCUUAGUUACAAAAAUAAAGAGUUUCAUUUAGGGCACAGCAAGGAUUAGAUUAAGUGACACUAGUUUCUGUACCAAAAAUUUGAAAAUAAAGACAAUAAGGGCUGAAGGGGGGUCUCUUAGUAAUACUUUCCCUCUAGGCAACCACAGUCUCUAACCAGAACUAAACCAGAUAAUUGGAAUCCUCUCUUUGAAACACUGAUUUAUUCCCAGAUAGUCUAAUGAACUGCUAAAGCAUCAUAGGCGGGAAUAAAAUGUUACUAAAAUCUUGCUGUUCCUUAAACAGGAAAAAAAGAACAUUUGAAAAUAAGAGACAUGUAAACCUCAUACAAGGCUUAGCAAUUCAUAUCCUAAAAAGUAUUACUAGUCUCAAUAGGAAAUGUUUUAAUUGCCAUUUGACUUGAAGACCAACAAAAAUAUUAUGGUUUCACUGUCAUAUGCCUGCAGAGUCUGUACAGUAUUAAUUAAUUUUUGUUAUAGAGUUUGUAACUCCAUACUGGAACAAAAUACAACAACCAAACCUCUUGCUGAUUUAUUUAAUGUUAUUUAUUUUAUUAAUUAUUAAAUAUUCCCUUUCUGUUUCAAGCAUAUUAUAAUAAUAUGCCAAUAAUUCAAAGGAAAAUUAAUUGCUGAUUAUGUUGCAAAUAAAAUAGAAUAUCACCUCAUUUUAUGUACAGCAUAUUCUCAUUGAAUUUGUUUUUGGGAUACUGGAUGACACAACAUAUAGUUGAGAUGAUAGGAAAAAACCAACAGGAGGUAAGUUAAGGAAAGUGUUUGAACAUUUGUAUGAGAAAACAAUUUCUGAAAGUGGUAGUUCAUACUACCAGUGGUAGGGAAGAACAGGAAUACAUUGGGGGAACACAAACUUGUGUUGCUAUUUGGUGAGAUGACUGCAUGAAAAGAUGUUCAGCUGGGGUAUACAAUGAUGGCUACAUACAUUAAUCCCUUGGAAAUGAGUUAUGCUGAGGAAAAAAAAAAUAUAAUUACUUAGAAAGAAGUUAUUAACCUGACAUUUCCUCUUAAAAGCAGUGCUUGUGGUAACUGUGAAUCUCUAAUAAAUUGAGUUGUAGUAAUGUAUUCGUUUGACGAAUAGCUAGAAAUAGCUAGAAUAGCUAGAAAUACUUUACCAUGAAAUGAAGUUCAGAUAGUUGAUAUAGUCUGUGUUUACUGAGUAUUCACUCAAUUAGAGUGCUUGCUUCAAGUAAAGGACUGACAGGCAGAAAUCAAUAUGAGUUUCUCCCAGGUUGCAUAAGACAUGCAUGUGCAGAAGAGAAGCCUCUGCAUGUGCAGAUGCUGAAGAAGAGGUUUUGUCUCAAUCAGAUCAAUCAGGGCAUGGAAAAAAGGAGAAUGGAUGUGAAUCCAAAGUUUAUCAGAAUUUACUUAAAGCUUUAAUUUGGGUUAGAAAGUAACAUAUUGUUUGCCACCCAGUUUGCAGCUUGCUGACAAUGUUUGAAAGAAGGGCAGUGGAAGAGUGUGAAGGAUUCAUGACCCCAGAUACAUGAAUACUGGUGGAGAGGUCCAUGCUGUUAUGUACUCAGAGAAAAAAAUCUUUAUUCAUAGAAUCACAAAGUGGUUUGGGUUGGAAGAGACCUUAAAUCUCAUCUAGUUCCAACUCCCUACCAUGGGCAGGGGCACCUUCCACUAGCACAGAUUGCUCCAAGCCCCAUGCAACCUGGCCUUGAACACUGCCAGGGAUGGGGCAUUGUUAUAUUUGCAGGGAUUAGCUCUUUUCAGACUUGAAUUUUGCAUUCUGCACUCCCCCUUCUUCACAGAUACAGAGAGAGGUAUGUUUUCCCCAAACACAUGUAGUAGCUCCAGGAUGAGGACUAAGACAGAGAACUUUAUAUUUUUGGCUUAUUGAAACUCACUUAGAAGCAGAAAGCUCAUCUGUGUGGGAAUGGGCUGCAGACUGCCCUCACACAACAAUGUGAGAGGUGGACAGGGUUAGAAAUUAGAGAUUAUCCUGACUCCUUUCCCACUGCAUGAAAAAAACCACAGAAAAACAGAGACUGCUGCGCCACUUGUUCCCAAGUAACUCAGGAGUAUCCUGCCUUCAGGAGACCCUUUCUGGGGUGUGUUACGAUUUCUGCUUGUGGACCAGCCCUUGUUUCCCAAUAGGCAUAUAGCAUGCCUUUCCUGGGCCGCAGUCAGGCUGCUGGAAUGGGAUGGGCAUGUCUGAGUAAGUCUUCUCAUAUAAUUUAUUAAAACUAAAGAUAGAUGCAUUGUUCUGUAACAAAUGUUACUGACAAAGUUCCUUGGAAAUGGAAACUAGUAGUAUUAUAAAGUUCUACUUCUAAACAGAGAAAAAACAUGCAUCAAAUUAGCUACCCUAAUCCCAGCAAUAUUCUUUUUCUUGUCUUUCAUGCAAAGCAGAUGAAUAUUACCAUGUGAAAAAACUAAAAAUAUUUUGUAAACUCCUGGUCUUCAAAUUCUAUCACAGAAAUAAACUUCACAUCUUCAUCUUGCACAGGAAUAACCUGGAGACCAGCGAUAGCUUCACAGGAGAGUCCAGUUCUGCCUGCUCUGCUCUAGCCUGUACAACAACAGUGUACAACUGCUUGCAUUCCUGCAUUGAUAUUACCAAGUUACAAGCUGAUUGUAAGAUGUUAAAGGUUUUGAGUGCUGACUCAUAUGCAACCAUAACCAGAUGGUGCCACGGUUAGCCUACAGUGGUGCCACAAAUAUCCAAAGUAGGGAUUAAAUGCAAAGACUGGCUUUAUACAUUUGUUACUCAUGCCAUUACCCUUAUACUGCAGCAUGUUACUCCAAGGAAGAGGAAAAUGGAUGUGAAAGAAUGAUGACCGUAUCCUGAAUGACCACAUGGGCUGCAAAGCAUUACUGCAUGUAUUUUAUGCCAGUUUUCCUUAGGUUUGCCCAGUACCCCACUUGAUCCUAACUCAAUUGAAAAGCAGUGGCGUUUACUGCUAACUAUCCCCAUGCUUUCAAGCACCUCCAACUACCCUCCAGGUUCAUUACUGGUUUUCCUGUGUAUUCUAGCUCCACACUGUCUACUCUGAUUUGUUCCAUAUGUCUUAAACUGAAAUAUGUUGUGGUAAGGAGGAAGUCUGUAAUCCCUCUCAAGUUUCUGUUGAAUACUGCUUGAAUCUAUGUACUGUCUGUUGCUUUAUACUACCCUCCGCUAUAAAGUCUGUAUUGAAAUGGUCUAAAAUAUCAGCUGCUUCUUUUUUUCAACCCUUCCUUUGUCUUCUGAUAGUCGACCUUUUAGUAUCAAAAGUUAAAAAUCCACACUCUGGCUUCUAUAUAAAAUGCAAAAGAGACAAGAAACAUCGUGAAAUGCUUAAAGCUAAAUCUAUGUUUACCAUAGUGUUAACAUCAGUGUUGCAAUUACCUAACUGUGCUCUCAGCUGCAAACGUGAAGCAGUGCAGCUACCCUGCUACCCUGCUCUAUGCCAUUCCAGAUUUACUCCUGGGAUAACAGGACACAGACUGGGACAUCUCUACUGUCUACAAGGAAUGCAGACAUCCCUGCUAUUUCUGGAGUGCAUGACUUCAUUGUCAUGCUGGUAGCAAGAUAUUCCUUUCUGUACUCCCUUAUUUGAAAAAGAAAAGAAAUAUUUCUCCCUACAUUACUGCAAAGCUGAAUCAACUCACUGUUUUUAAAACUAGAUUUAAAAAUCACUCUUGCUAACAUAUUAAGCUAUUGUAUGCCCUUUUAACGGGCACAUAACAAUGUAUUUUUGCAUUCUCGGUAAGACCCACAGGGAACAUUAAGUUUUACCUUUUUUUGGGUUUUUUUUUCCUAUUUUUUCUUUUUUUUUUUUUUUUUUUUUUUUUUUUUUUUUUUAAUGAGAGAAGGCCUAUGGCUCUUGCAUUAAAAAAAAAAAAAAAAAA